This 379-nucleotide ribosomal RNA is filed under the name uncultured cyanobacterium. RNAcentral describes it as "bacterial SSU rRNA". It matches the Rfam family "Bacterial small subunit ribosomal RNA", at positions 376 to 770 of the family's 1533-position model. The record is from RNAcentral. Lineage: Bacteria; Bacillati; Cyanobacteriota.
CGAAAGCCUGACGGAGCAACGCCGCGUGUGGGAAGAAGGCUCUUGGGCUGUCAACCACUUUUCUCAGGGAAGAAGAUCUGACGGUACCUGAGGAAUCAGCCUCGGCUAACUCCGUGCCAGCAGCCGCGGUAAUACGGAGGAGGCAAGCGUUAUCCGGAAUUAUUGGGCGUAAAGCGUCCGCAGGGGGCACAUCAAGUCUGCUGUCAAAGCUCGGAGCUCAACUCCGACCCGGCAGUGGAAACUGGGGAGCUAGAGGGCGGCAGGGGCAGAAGGAAUUCCCGGUGUAGCGGUGAAAUGCGUAGAGAUUGGGAAGAACACCGGUGGCGAAAGCGCUCUACUGGGUCGCACCUGACCCUCAGGGACGAAAGCUAAGGGAGCG